AAAGGUAAGCUACUAAGAGCGAAUGGUGGAUGCCUUGACUGGUAAAGGCGAUGAAGGACGUACUAGACUGCGAUAAGCUACGGGGAGCUGUCAAGAAGCUUUGAUCCGUAGAUUUCCGAAUGGGGCAACCCAAUGUAUAGAGAUAUACAUUACCUAUAUAGGAGCGAACGAGGGGAAUUGAAACAUCUUAGUACCCUCAGGAAAAGAAAUCAAUAGAGAUUGCGUCAGUAGCGGCGAGCGAAAGCGCAAGAGGGCAAACCCAGUGCUUGCACUGGGGGUUGUAGGACUGCAAUGUGCAAGAGGUGAGUUUAGCAGAACAUUCUGGAAAGUAUA
This 333-nucleotide ribosomal RNA is filed under the name Campylobacter coli. RNAcentral's name for it is "partial 23S ribosomal RNA". It matches the Rfam family "Bacterial large subunit ribosomal RNA", at positions 1 to 353 of the family's 2925-position model. Lineage: Bacteria; Pseudomonadati; Campylobacterota; Epsilonproteobacteria; Campylobacterales; Campylobacteraceae. RNAcentral also lists the same sequence under 1 other name. The record is from RNAcentral.